This is a non-coding RNA of Salmo salar (Atlantic salmon), 54 nucleotides long. NCBI's taxonomy places the organism in Eukaryota, Metazoa, Chordata, Actinopteri, Salmoniformes, Salmonidae. The record is from Rfam.
UUUCCUAACUACUGUAAGUCGCUCUGGAUAAGAGCUUCUGCUAAAUGACUAAAA